RNAcentral lists this long non-coding RNA (233 nucleotides) under Gossypium raimondii (Peruvian cotton). Its description in RNAcentral is "long non-coding RNA (GRAI_LNC010598)". Lineage: Eukaryota; Viridiplantae; Streptophyta; Magnoliopsida; Malvales; Malvaceae. The record is from RNAcentral.
GGUUGGGUGCUUAGAAAAUUGGGGUAAUAGGAAGUGUUUGAUUUAGUAAAUUUUUUAGUAGCACUGUUUCUUUUUCUUUUUUCCCUUUUUUUCCUACAAAUUCCUAAUUGACAAUAGAGAUAUGAUGUAACCGAAUAUUUGUUUAGUAUUUUAUAAUUUGAACAACUUUUUUAAAAAAAAUUAAUUCGUGGUUCGUCCUUGUGGGAAUCUGAUUCAUGCUUUUUAUCCUCGAG